Molecule: long non-coding RNA, 534 nt
Organism: Panicum virgatum (switchgrass)
Lineage: Eukaryota; Viridiplantae; Streptophyta; Magnoliopsida; Poales; Poaceae
Exons: 3
Source: RefSeq, a predicted model, not a curated record
CAGGUAUGCAGAAAUAUUGACAGUCAACUUGAGGGUAGUGGUACUCUGAACCAUAUUUAUAUGCAGGAGGAUAAUGCAGACUACUGUCGAGUUGCCACCGCUCCCGAGCGCACCAUGCCAUCAUUGUUCCCGAUGUGGUGCUAUAUUCACCCUCUUUGUUCCCGACCAUAUCCACGCAACAGAGGAGGCCAGAAGAUAAUUGUACUAAUUGUAGUGAUGGUGAUACUGCGAAGACUUCCAAGAGACAUGAGAAAGCUGCUAAGUACAUCGAGCACGACAGCUCCUUCAGCGAGAACUUGAAUUAGAUUAGAUUUAGAAUGGAGCGCAUUGCUACAUUAUUAUUGAUCUUUAAACACGUGCAUGUUGCACGUGCAUCUCCACUAGUGCACAUAAAUAUGAAAACAAUCAUAAAUGACACUUAGUGGACAAGCUUUUUUUUUCUCACGAUAGUUAUUUUGAUAUGACGUACAUAGGAGCCAGCUUGAUUAUUUUUUACUUUUCUUUGUGUCUCUUGGUCAAUCACAUUGUUGUGUA